Zingiber officinale is the source of this 174-nucleotide long non-coding RNA. RefSeq lists it as uncharacterized. The record is from RefSeq and is a predicted model, not a curated record. The transcript has 3 exons. Lineage: Eukaryota; Viridiplantae; Streptophyta; Magnoliopsida; Zingiberales; Zingiberaceae.
UGUAUUCAGGAACUCCAACUAAACAGUUCAGGUAUUGGAGAUGAGGGUGCAAGGGUUAUUGCAGAUAUGCUGAAAGAAAAUCAAACUUUACGUGUACUGGAACUUAACAAUAAUAUGAUUGAAUAUUCUGGUUUUGCAAGUCUUGCUGGAGCACUAGUUGAGAAUAAGGCAAUU